UCCUCUCUCUCUCUCUCUCUCUCCUCAUCUUGUGGUUAGCGGAAUGAAAAAAUAGGCAAUGAGACGUCCACUGUUGGGAAUUGAAAGUGGGGUGGGCCCACGGCUUGCUUUUGUCAACGAUUUUGUUGGUUAAUGGGAUUAGAUUAGACCCACAUUUACAGGAGAAAUUAUAUAGUAUUUUGAUUAUUUCAUGUAAGCAUAUAAUAUAAAAUGAUAAAUCAACUAUGAAUAAUCAUUGUAUUAUUAUUUUUUACUUAAAUAAUUGUAAUUAUUAUUUUUUUAAAUAAUUGAUGUAGUAUAUAAUUUUCUCAUCUAAAAAGCGGGAUUCAAUCACAAGUUCACAAUCAGCAUAGAUCUCUCCUUGUCAAUGGAUAAAAUUGAUGCAUACAUUUUGCAUAGUCAUUUAGAUCUAAUUUCAUAGUCAUUUUAUUCUAUUAUUAGUUAUUUUUAGCUAAUUUCAUUAGUAAAUUAGUUAGUUUUUCAUAAUUGUCGAUUUUGGAUUAAUUUGUAAUUUUUACUUUGUUUUGUAGGAAAAAUGGUGUUUUUGAAGGUCUAAAAAGAAAUUUUGCCAUUGAGGAGUGACUUCUACAGCCAAAGAUGUCAAAAACAAGUUUUCAAGCUGAAAUAUGCAUUGACCAAAUUGUGCAUAACUUGCCGCAUAAGCUAUGCAGAUCUGCAUAAGGAGAAAAAUCACUGUUCCAAUACCUGCCGAAUUGUGCAUAAGAAGAGUGCAUGGUUUAUGCAGAUUCACGCCCCCUUAUGCAAUCUCACGGAAUUGUGCAUAACCUAUGCACCAAGUCAUGCAGCUUCGCAUAAGUGACCCAGAACCAGCCGAAAACUGCAUAGUGAAUCAGAACCAGCCGAAAACUGCAUAAGGGACUGCAUAACUUAUGCAGUCCACUUAUGCAGUCCCAUAAAGAGUUCAUUAAUGAGCUGGCAGAAGAUUCCCUCAGAAAAUCCCUCCUAAAACACACCAUUUUAGGGCUCCAUGUCAGAAAAAUGCUAUAAAUAGUCUCAUUUUCCCAUUUUAGAGGGAGAGGACAAAGAGCAGAAAAGGAAAGGAGAAGGGAGGCAGAAUUUGAAGAGUCACUUUCACCUUCCACACCAUUUUCAACCAAGAUUUGCAGAUUUCUUUCUUUCCUUACAUUUUUCCUACCUUUCUAGAGUUUAAUUUCUUGUUUCUUAGUUUAGAUUAAAGCUUUAUUUCCAUUUAAACUCAUCAUAUCUUGUAAGCAUUAUGGAUAGUGAGUAGUUUACUUUUGAUUCUGGAGUAAGGGUUGUAAUAUUUGAGAUAUUUUGUGGAUUUUGAUUGGGUAAUCCAUAUUUUGUGGUCUUAAUGAGUUUUAUUCAUUUCUUGUGUGCUUAAUGACAUGCUUAGUGUAUGAUCGCAUUAAGUAUUGUUCUUAAUCCAUGGUUUAAGCACUGAAAGGAGAAAAUUUUGUGAUAGAUAAUCAAGAAAUUGGACUUAAUUAACUUAGAUCUAGAAAUAGACCAAGGGUCAAGAGGGUUUUAAUAGAUUGAUCAAAGAACCUAAUAAAUUUUGGUUAAUUUUAACUCCACGAAA
Molecule: unclassified non-coding RNA, 1564 nt
Filed under: Hevea brasiliensis (rubber tree)
Lineage: Eukaryota; Viridiplantae; Streptophyta; Magnoliopsida; Malpighiales; Euphorbiaceae
Source: RNAcentral